UGUAUAUUUUUAAAAUGUUAUCUAUUUUUACGUGUAACGUUAAUCCAAAUAAUGUAAUGCAAUUGAAAAAUUUGGUUUAAUUACCAAAUUCAUUUCUCAAUUUAAUAAUCAUAACAGUGGAUAUAUGAGGAUAACUGCAGUGUCCACUACCAUGCAUUACAUAUCAACAGGUGUAGAAUUAAUUUUGUCAUUGUAGGAAACACAAACAAACAAAAACAUUAUGUGUAAACUUUGUGUUACAGAAAGUUCAAGUCUGGGUGGCCAGAAGUUACAUUUCAGUGACCUGGUUACCGCCUCUCUCUGCAAACACAAAGGAUCACUUUCCUCAGCGGAUCUACCCCAAUCAUCAUUAACGGGACCCCAGUGGAGAGAGUGAGCAGCUUCAAAUACCUUCAAAUGCCCUGCAAAGAGUAGCUGAGCACAUGUCCAGAACAUCUCUCCUCUCUCUGCAAGACAUCCACACCAGGAGAUGUAAAUCUAGGACUGUUAAGAUCCUUAAAGACCUCACCCACCCUGGAAAUCCACUGUUUAAUCUGCUACAGUCAAGCAGACGCUUCUGCAGUCUGAUGGCAAAGACGGAGAGGCUCAGGAGGAGUUUCUUCCCUCAUGUUAUCAGACUGCUAAACAUGGACAUUAAACACACUGCACUUUAUAGACUGGUUGUUUAGGGCUACCCAAUAACUCUCUGCACACUGCACUUUUUUGACAACCUAACUAUGCAACUCAUCCUCGCUGCACAUUGUUUACAUCUCUACAAAUCAUCUGUGUAGCAGUUUAAUACAGUAUAUUGUGUAUAUUUCAUUAUUUGUAUUUAAAUAUCUCCAAAAAAAAAAACUUUUUAUUUUUUUCCUGUUGUUUCAUUAUUUGUAUUUAAUUUUCUCUUAUUUUUUUGCACAGUCUAAAAAGAGUAUGCCAGACUUACAUUUCACUGCUUUUUGCAUGUCAUAUAUCAAAUAAAACUUGAAUUUUUAUUGGUGUGGAGUGUUACCUGUGAUUGAGUUGGUGAUAAAAAGGAGAUGGGGAAAAAAGUGUCUUAAAUUGGACUUUGGUACCAAUAAUAUUUUCCUCUUAAGUCUUGGAAUUUUUUUUAUUAUUAUUAAUUCUUGUAUUACUAUUUAGAUUUUUUUUCUUCUUUUUUAAAUUAAAUGUUUAUUUGUAAAAUU
Carassius carassius (crucian carp) is the source of this 1163-nucleotide long non-coding RNA. RefSeq lists it as uncharacterized. The transcript is spliced from 2 exons. NCBI's taxonomy places the organism in Eukaryota, Metazoa, Chordata, Actinopteri, Cypriniformes, Cyprinidae. The record is from RefSeq and is a predicted model, not a curated record.